Molecule: transfer RNA, 66 nt
Filed under: Mycolicibacterium mucogenicum
Lineage: Bacteria; Bacillati; Actinomycetota; Actinomycetes; Mycobacteriales; Mycobacteriaceae
Description: tRNA-Ser
Rfam family: tRNA
About the family: Transfer RNA (tRNA) molecules are approximately 80 nucleotides in length. Their secondary structure includes four short double-helical elements and three loops (D, anti-codon, and T loops).
Source: RNAcentral
CAAGUCAGUGGCUAUCUCGUCCGCCUGAAAAGCGGAAGGUCGCCGGUUCGAUCCCGGCCCUGGCCA